Molecule: small nucleolar RNA, 216 nt
Filed under: Sinocyclocheilus anshuiensis
Lineage: Eukaryota; Metazoa; Chordata; Actinopteri; Cypriniformes; Cyprinidae
Description: Small nucleolar RNA U3 (ENSSANG00000022102.1)
Rfam family: Small nucleolar RNA U3
About the family: Small nucleolar RNAs (snoRNAs) are involved in the processing and modification of rRNA in the nucleolus. There are two main classes of snoRNAs: the box C/D class, and the box H/ACA class. U3 snoRNA is a member of the box C/D class.
Source: Rfam by way of RNAcentral
AAGACUGUACUUUCAGAGAUCAUUUCUAUAGUUUUUAACUAGAAAAUGUAUUUCGAACGUGUUGAAUCUCGGAAACCACGAUGAUGAGCUUCGAUGCUCUUUUUUGAGGGUGAGACGGGUGUGGAGUAAUGGUUUACCUCGUAUGCUUUACAUCGUUGAUGAACGUUACUUGUUGCGUCUUUGCAGCGAGAAGAAGAAGGGCAUGUUCAGAGUGGU